This 378-nucleotide ribosomal RNA is filed under the name uncultured bacterium. RNAcentral's name for it is "partial 16S ribosomal RNA". It matches the Rfam family "Bacterial small subunit ribosomal RNA", at positions 338 to 732 of the family's 1533-position model. The record is from RNAcentral.
CCUACGGGUGGCAGCAGUGGGGAAUAUUGCACAAUGGGGGAAACCCUGAUGCAGCAACGCCGCGUGAAGGAUGACGGUUUUCGGAUUUUAAACUUCUUUUCUUAGUGAAGAAUAAUGACGGUAGCUUAGGAUCAAGCCACGGCUAACUACGUGCCAGUAGGCGCGGUAAUACGUAGGUAGCAACCGUGGUCCGGAAUUACUGGGGUUAAAUGGAGCUCAGGCGGGAAGACAAGUUAGCUGUGAAAACUACGGGCUUAACUUAUGGAGUGCAGUUGAAACUGAUGUUCUUGAGUGAAGUAGAGGUAUGCGGAAUGCGGGGUGUAGCGGUGAAAUGCGUAGAUAUCAGGAGGAACACCGGUGGCGAAGGCGGCAAACUGG